GGUUAAAAAUUUCAUCAAUUUGUACGGUUAAAAUCUGAUGUGGUUGACAGAAUAAUCAGACAAUGACAUGACGUGUCACGUGUAUCUCAUGCUGACAUACAAUGACCAAUUUUUAAUAGAAAAUGAAUGAAAUUUUUAAUA
This is a non-coding RNA of Gossypium raimondii (Peruvian cotton), 141 nucleotides long. The record is from Rfam. NCBI's taxonomy places the organism in Eukaryota, Viridiplantae, Streptophyta, Magnoliopsida, Malvales, Malvaceae.